AACAUGCUGCCUUAGAUCCACCUUUGUGGAUGAAUCUUCAACUGAGUUCUAUUUGUAAACUUCUUGUUUCUUAUAGUUCCAGUCAAAGAACAUCCAGCAACUUUUUUGGUUGUAUAGUCAAAGGUGCUUGAGUCAUUGGCAUGUGAGAUCACUAUACCUGCAUGUUAGUCUAAGGUUCUGAUAGAAAUGGCAUGCAGUUAUGCUGUCAUUUUUCACUAUUGGAACUCGACUGGUGUGCGGACACU
This 245-nucleotide small nucleolar RNA is filed under the name Sciurus vulgaris (Eurasian red squirrel). RNAcentral's name for it is "Small nucleolar RNA SNORA53 (ENSSVLG00005006239.1)". It matches the Rfam family "Small nucleolar RNA SNORA53". From Rfam's summary of the family: The snoRNA ACA53 belongs to the H/ACA family of pseudouridylation guide snoRNAs. Lineage: Eukaryota; Metazoa; Chordata; Mammalia; Rodentia; Sciuridae. The record is from Rfam by way of RNAcentral.